Triticum dicoccoides is the source of this 2352-nucleotide long non-coding RNA. RefSeq lists it as uncharacterized. NCBI's taxonomy places the organism in Eukaryota, Viridiplantae, Streptophyta, Magnoliopsida, Poales, Poaceae. The record is from RefSeq and is a predicted model, not a curated record. The transcript has 4 exons.
CCAUGCGCCUCCUCUCCUCCUUCCCUGCCGCCGCCUGACCUCCUCCUUCCACCCGUUGCCGCCCGGCCUCCUCCCGCCCGCGCCUCCCUCUCCUCCUUCCUCGCCGCCGCCCGGCCUCCUCCCCACCCGUGCCUCCCUCUCAUACUUCCACCCCACCGAUCUAGCGCCACCAAACCCUAACGCCCCGCCCGGCCCCGGCUCCCACGGGAGGGAAGGAGGAAUGACGAGGCGAGGCAAAGGCGGCGGCGUAUGGGACGUGGCGCGGGCGGCGUGGCCCAGGGGGUCGGCCUCCUCCUCCCCUACGGUGGCGCGCCGCCUCCGCCGUCGGCAGGAGGGGGCCGCGGUGGCCGCCGCGCAGCCCGACCAGGAGCUCCCCGGCGAGCAGUCGUUCCCCUACGAGAAGAAGGUGAGGAGGACACGCCCCUGCGUCAAGAGAUCCGUCAAGAGUUGCUCGUGCCGGGAGAGGAAUCCACGUCUGCUCCUGCUGCUCGACUGAUUCCAGAUCGAGGGACGCCUGCUUCUGCUCGCUACGGACGGCGCCCGCCGGCCACGCAGAAGUAGACUCAGCGGACAUUAUGUUGUGGACAAACUGUAGGUGGCUCAGUCUGAUUGACACAAGAAAGGGGCAAGGCCAGCUCCAUGUUCCUCUAGCAGAACUGGACCACCAAUCGUUAUAGUUCUGGUCUCAGGAAGCAGGAUGAAUUGGUCCAUCAACGAACACUUUUGUUGCAGAUCUUGGCAGCUAAAAGAGAACUGACUAGGCCCUAGUCAUCUCCGCCCCUGAUAGUGCUCCUAGAUGUGCUACACAUCACCUCCUCGUCUCCUUGGCCGCUUCGCAGCCAGUGGCGUUCGUGCUCGUCGGCGGGACGGUGCAAGGUGCAACUUCGACGUGGUUCCUCGCCGGUUGGACGGUGUUCAGACGCAACCCUGGUGCCCACUGAGUACUGCCUCGGCUACAACCUCCCUCGGUGAGCUCCAUCUUCCCCUGCUCUACUUCAUCUACUAUAUGGGACAUGGGCAGGGCUAUGAUGAUCAGUUAUCGCUGAUAUAGGCAUGCUCUCGAGCAAUCAAGGCACUUGUGGGUUUUAAUUUGGAUCCUCCCUCAUUUCUUUGAGUCGUUUUGAUCAUGUUCUUAUUUUAGUGGCUCCUGUCCUUGGAUGGACAUUUCUGAUGAGUGAUAACCAAGGCAGUUUCACCCUUGUGAGAACAUAUUGAUUGGUGAUCCAUCCAGAAAUAAGACCCAUGGCAAGUUCCCUGGCUCCUCAGAUCUCAGGCACUUUCGGCCGUCAGAUCGAUUUCCUGAUGCGAUUCUAGCCGCCGGAUCUCGCUCCGGAUUGAUCUCGGCCAUUGGGUCGAGCCCGAGCUCCUGUAGCAAUGAAUAGUUACUCCCGCGGUGAGAUAUCUUGUGUCAUCGCGUGUGAAUCACGUGUCCCAUCGGUCGGAAGCCAUUCUUUCUAGGGCGAUGAUGAUUAACCGUCGUUGAAAUAAGUGUGCCUUUGAGCAAUCGAGUUACCUGUGGGUAUCAAGUUGGAUCCUCCCUCUUGUCUCUAGAAUCCUUUUUGAUCCUGUGAUACUUAUUGUUCUGUCCUUGGAUGGUCAUUCUUGUUGACUGAUAACCAGGGCAGUUCUACUGUAUAAACAGAUUGAUCUAGUGAUAAGAGAUGAUGGGGGUAGGUUAUAUGAUCGAGGAAAGGCGAAUCUGAGCCCACUAUGCAAUAGAACUGUAGCUACCUCCCCUAGUGUGUGUAGUAUUGAAGGCAAUAAAUAACUUUUCAUGUUACUUUAAAAUUCAGAAAAGGUUAAUUCUUCCUUUGCUGGUUACUUAACCAUGAUUUUUGUUUUGCUUUGGUUCUGGUUGAGAUACUAAAGGUUGUUUAUUUAUGAAAAGAACAAACACUUGUAGUUUUGUAUGCCUCAGCUGUUGCUUAGGAUCCAGUGUUGUAGUGCUUUGCCUAAUUACAAAUAACUCUAAUCAAUAAUAGUGGUAUCAAUAAUAGUGGUUCUUUUCUUCUGAUUUGAACUGAGAGAGAGAGAGCCACUGAUUCUUGAUCUUAAGGUGACCCCAUUUUUCUAUGCCUCAUGCUCAUGCUGCUCUAUGUUCCCUUUUAAAAAUUCUUGCUUGCAUUUUGGGUUGGUUUCUGCUCUAUGUUCCCUUUUAGCGUUUCUUUCCGUUGUUGCUGCACUCCCUUUUGGGCGUUCAUUUCAUGCCCAGGAUCUUGCAAAUUGUGCCUGUGCCAAGCUUGCUUUAGAGUACGGGCUACAGAGACGUCGAGGACCUCAAGGUCACCGAUGUUGUAGAGCUGGGCGAGGUUUCCACGCAGUUCAUCGACCGCCUGUUCUUCCUGGAGAAGG